RNAcentral lists this ribosomal RNA (481 nucleotides) under Agalma elegans. RNAcentral describes it as "partial 16S ribosomal RNA". It matches the Rfam family "Bacterial large subunit ribosomal RNA", at positions 1808 to 2474 of the family's 2925-position model. The record is from RNAcentral. Lineage: Eukaryota; Metazoa; Cnidaria; Hydrozoa; Siphonophorae; Agalmatidae.
CAAAAACAUAGCUGAGAAUAAAAUUCAAGGUGUAACCUGCCCAGUGGUUAAUAAUUUAGAAUAACGAUCUUAAAAUUUAACUAAACGGAUGCGGUAUCUUAACCGUAAUAAAGUAGCAUAAUCACUCGCCACUUAAUUGGUGGAUGGUAUGAAUGGUUGAACGAAUAUUUAACUGUCUUAUAUAAAAAAUUUUGAAAUUAAAAUAAUAGUAAAGAUGCUAUUUAAAACUGUAAGACGAAAAGACCCUAUAGAGCUUAACUAUUUUUUUUUUACUUAUAUUAAUAAUUUUAAAAAAUUAUAAGUAGAGAAUUAGGUAGUUUAGUUGGGGCGACUACCUUUUAUUAAUAUCAAAGGUAAACAAAAUAAAUUAAUUUAUUUAUUGUAUAAUAUAUCAAUUUAACAAUUAUAAAAAUAGGUAAUAAUGACCCGUUAUUAUUAAAAAAUAAAAAUAGCGAUUAAUAAAUAAAAGCUACCUUAGGGA